Molecule: unclassified non-coding RNA, 473 nt
Filed under: uncultured Alphaproteobacteria bacterium
Lineage: Bacteria; Pseudomonadati; Pseudomonadota; Alphaproteobacteria
Description: partial 16S-23S ribosomal RNA intergenic spacer
Rfam family: tRNA (bases 191-264)
Source: RNAcentral
CCUCCUUUCUAAGGAUUGUCACGAAAGCGCCUGGCCUUGAGCCGGGAAGAGCUUCGCGACUUUUCAUGGAACAUUGCCGUCGUCCUCAUGUCCUUUCAUCACUGGAGAUUGCCUCAAGGCCUUAGUCUUGCGGCAUGACGCCUGAGUCGGCUCACGCCCCUCGCGGCUUUACUGCCGUCGACGGUGGUGUAGGUCCGUAGCUCAGUUGGUUAGAGCGCACCCCUGAUAAGGGUGAGGUCGGUGGUUCAAAUCCACUCGGACCUACCAAGUUUUGGAAUUGGUGCGGGGCCUUAGCUCAGCUGGGAGAGCACCUGCUUUGCAAGCAGGGGGUCAUCGGUUCGAUCCCGAUAGGCUCCACCAGCCAACCUCCAGAGAUGAAACGAAAAGCUAUCCGGCUUCGGUCGGUAGCGAGGCGAUUUGCGCCUUGCGAUCUUUGACAUUGUGAAUGGGUUUUAAAUCGAUGCCGUGGCGCA